Molecule: ribosomal RNA, 291 nt
Filed under: uncultured bacterium
Lineage: Bacteria
Description: partial 16S ribosomal RNA
Rfam family: Bacterial small subunit ribosomal RNA
Source: RNAcentral
GUGGAUUAGAUACCCUGGUAGUCCACGCCGUAAACGAUGAGCACUAGUUAUUGGGGGUAUUGACUCCCUCAGUGACGCAGCUAACGCAUUAAGUGCUCCGCCUGGGGAGUACGGUCGCAAGACUAAAACUCAAACAAAUUGACGGGGGCCCGCACAAGCGGUGGAUUAUGUGGUUUAAUUCGAAGCAACGCGCAGAACCUUACCUAGGCUUGAACUCCUACGAACCCGUUGUAAUGGACGGGGUGCCCGCAAGGGAAUGUAGUGAGAGGUGCUGCACGGCCGUCGACAACU